RNAcentral lists this ribosomal RNA (849 nucleotides) under Paenarthrobacter nicotinovorans. RNAcentral describes it as "bacterial SSU rRNA". It matches the Rfam family "Bacterial small subunit ribosomal RNA", at positions 623 to 1468 of the family's 1533-position model. The record is from RNAcentral. Lineage: Bacteria; Bacillati; Actinomycetota; Actinomycetes; Micrococcales; Micrococcaceae.
GCAGUGGGUACGGGCAGACUAGAGUGCAGUAGGGGAGACUGGAAUUCCUGGUGUAGCGGUGAAAUGCGCAGAUAUCAGGAGGAACACCGAUGGCGAAGGCAGGUCUCUGGGCUGUAACUGACGCUGAGGAGCGAAAGCAUGGGGAGCGAACAGGAUUAGAUACCCUGGUAGUCCAUGCCGUAAACGUUGGGCACUAGGUGUGGGGGACAUUCCACGUUUUCCGCGCCGUAGCUAACGCAUUAAGUGCCCCGCCUGGGGAGUACGGCCGCAAGGCUAAAACUCAAAGGAAUUGACGGGGGCCCGCACAAGCGGCGGAGCAUGCGGAUUAAUUCGAUGCAACGCGAAGAACCUUACCAAGGCUUGACAUGAACCGGAAAGACCUGGAAACAGGUGCCCCGCUUGCGGUCGGUUUACAGGUGGUGCAUGGUUGUCGUCAGCUCGUGUCGUGAGAUGUUGGGUUAAGUCCCGCAACGAGCGCAACCCUCGUUCUAUGUUGCCAGCGGUUCGGCCGGGGACUCAUAGGAGACUGCCGGGGUCAACUCGGAGGAAGGUGGGGACGACGUCAAAUCAUCAUGCCCCUUAUGUCUUGGGCUUCACGCAUGCUACAAUGGCCGGUACAAAGGGUUGCGAUACUGUGAGGUGGAGCUAAUCCCAAAAAGCCGGUCUCAGUUCGGAUUGGGGUCUGCAACUCGACCCCAUGAAGUCGGAGUCGCUAGUAAUCGCAGAUCAGCAACGCUGCGGUGAAUACGUUCCCGGGCCUUGUACACACCGCCCGUCAAGUCACGAAAGUUGGUAACACCCGAAGCCGGUGGCCUAACCCUGGGGGGAGCCUCGAGGUGACGCUGCUCC